Molecule: non-coding RNA, 71 nt
Organism: Centruroides sculpturatus (bark scorpion)
Lineage: Eukaryota; Metazoa; Arthropoda; Arachnida; Scorpiones; Buthidae
Source: the annotation of a RefSeq genome assembly
GCAUCGGUAGUUCAAUGGUAGAAUGUCCGCUUCCCAAGCGAAUGAUCCGGGUUCGAUUCCCGGCCGUUGCA